This 481-nucleotide ribosomal RNA is filed under the name uncultured bacterium. RNAcentral's name for it is "partial 16S ribosomal RNA". It matches the Rfam family "Bacterial small subunit ribosomal RNA", at positions 28 to 523 of the family's 1533-position model. The record is from RNAcentral.
GACGAACGCUGGCGGCGUGCUUAACACAUGCAAGUCGAGCGGAAAGGCCACUUCGGUGGUACUCGAGCGGCGAACGGGUGAGUAACACGUGAGUAAUCUGCCCCUGGCUUUGGGAUAGCCACCAGAAACGGUGAUUAAUACCGGAUACGACCACUUCUCGCAUGGGAUGGUGGUGGAAAGUUUUUUCGGCCAGGGAUGUGCUCGCGGCCUAUCAGCUUGAUGGUGAGGUAAUGGCUCACCAUGGCUUCGACGGGUAGCCGGCCUGAGAGGGUGACCGGUCACACUGGGACUGAGACACGGCCCAGACUCCUACGGGAGGCAGCAGUGGGGAAUAUUGGACAAUGGGCGGAAGCCUGAUCCAGCAACGCCGCGUGGGGGAUGACGGCCUUCGGGUUGUAAACCUCUUUCAGCAGGGACGAAGCGCAAGUGACGGUACCUGCAGAAGAAGCACCGGCCAACUACGUGCCAGCAGCCGCGGUAA